CCUACGGGUGGCUGCAGUGAGGAAUAUUGGUCAAUGGGCGCGAGCCUGAACCAGCCAAGCAGCGUGAAGGAUGAAUGCCCUACGGGUUGUAAACUUCUUUUAUAAAGGAAUAAAGUGUGGCACGCGUGCCUUUUUGUAUGUACUUUAUGAAUAAGCAUCGGCUAACUCCGUGCCAGCAGCCGCGGUAAUACGGAGGAUCCGAGCGUUAUCCGGAUUUAUUGGGUUUAAAGGGUGCGUAGAUGGGGUGUUAAGUCAGUUGUGAAAGUUUGCGGCUCAACCGUAAAAUUGCAUUUGAUACUGGCAGUCUUGAGUGCGGUUGAGGUAGGCGGAAUUCGUGGUGUAGCGGUGAAAUGCUUAGAUAUCACGAAGAACUCCGAUUGCGAAGGCAGCUUGCUAGACUGACACUGACGUUGAUGCUCGAAAGUGUGGGUAUCAAACAGGAUUAGAUACCCGUGUAGUC
This 460-nucleotide ribosomal RNA is filed under the name uncultured bacterium. Its description in RNAcentral is "partial 16S ribosomal RNA". It matches the Rfam family "Bacterial small subunit ribosomal RNA", at positions 338 to 795 of the family's 1533-position model. The record is from RNAcentral.